RNAcentral lists this ribosomal RNA (399 nucleotides) under Triticum aestivum (bread wheat). RNAcentral's name for it is "partial small subunit ribosomal RNA". The record is from RNAcentral. Lineage: Eukaryota; Viridiplantae; Streptophyta; Magnoliopsida; Poales; Poaceae.
GGCCUGAAUAGUAGGGGCAAAUUUACUACUAAAUCGGUUUAUGAGUGGCUGGAAAGAGAUUUAUCUGGACCUAGUUAUAAAAUGAUUUGGAAAGCUGCGAUCACCUUGAAAAUAAAGAUUUUUUUAUGGCAACUGUUUCAAAAUGCUGUGCCUACGCGCGAUAACAUGCGGCGUAGAAAUUGGCCAGGAAACCCUGUGUGCUCCUUCUGCACAAAUGUGGAAACUGCUAAUCACCUCUUUUUUACCUAUCCUCUCGCCCGUACGGUUUGGGGCGUAUUGGGGUUGACCGCAGGAGCCUCUUGUGCCCCCGGAUCUGUUUGGCAAAGUUUAGCUUGGCUAUAUAAAUUCUUUCCAAGUGGAAAGAGAUUUUAUAUGAUGAUUGUUGCAGCCGUGUGCUGA